This is an RNA transcript of Hordeum vulgare subsp. vulgare (domesticated barley), 3451 nucleotides long. RefSeq lists it as uncharacterized. The record is from RefSeq and is a predicted model, not a curated record. The transcript has 2 exons. NCBI's taxonomy places the organism in Eukaryota, Viridiplantae, Streptophyta, Magnoliopsida, Poales, Poaceae.
AGCGGCUACGGAUAAGGUCCGAAGACCAGAACCCGCACCACGGCCGACCACCACCUCUCGUUCCCCGGGAGGGGCGGAGCGCCGCCGGCCACACCAAGAUUCCGGCAACCACGGGAGGGGCGGCGCGGCCACACCAAGAUUUCGGCGACCACGGGAGGGGCGGCGUGUCUCCAGGACGGCCAUGGUGGUUCUGCUCCGACUCAGGCUGUAGGUCCUAUCUGCAAUCCGAGCCCGGCUGGGAGUUGGAUUAGUCAUUCCGAGGCUCCCCUUCAUAAAUAAGGGGAGGGACUUGAAGACCUAACACAUCAUUGCCAGGUAGAUCCAGUUAGUGCGGGAAGAACAUGUGUAAACGUCAGCACUCGCACCUCGACGUCGACGGCACCGGAAAAAGGCCGCGCCGUGUGCCGAAGAAGCACCUCUACCUAGUGCUGGAUGAUUGGCACAAAGGCUUCAGCAUCCACAAGAUCGACGUCGACGCCUUGGAGGGCACCACCGCCGACCUACACCAUGGGUUCCCUGACCCCGCUGCUCUCCGGUUAGCCUCACCCGUAAAUCGUCUUCGCAUGGACUUCGCAGCCAUGGGCGGCAACAUCUUCAUCACCACCAACCCAUGCUGUCCAGACACUCCCACCCUCGUGUUCGACACCGAGACGGCUGGGCUCACCAUGGGUCCCCGUCCACCGUUCGAAUCAUCGACAGGACUACCUUCACCGUGGCCGGCGGCGGCAUGCUAUACGCGUUGACACAUCGGCACGUUCACGAGCAACACUCUUUCGAGGCCAUGUCGUGGGCACCAAUGGAAAGAGACGAGCCGUGGCCGAGCCCAACCAUGAGAUGGUCCUGGAAAAGCGUGCCCUCGCCGCCACCAUUCGCCAUGGACGACGUAAUCACCUCCUACGCCCUGCACCCGGACGGGCACACCAUUUUCAUGUCUGCACACGACAUUCGCUAUCAUCAUCUUUCCAAGGGCACCUUCUCCUUUGACACCAGGAAUUCCGAGUGGAGGUUACAUGGGGAUUGGGCGCUACCAUUCCAAGGACAAGCCUACUACGACAACGGGCUAGACGCAUGGGUCGGGCUUCACGAGGACGGGUACAUCUGCUCCUGUGAAGUUGCCUCCCGCAGCAGCACAAGUGCCGUGGAGCCGGAGUGGAAGGUGACCAAGGAGAAGCUGUUCCACAAGGACCCGGAGAGGCGGCUGGCAUUUGCGAAGGCCAGUCUUGAGUACAUGGGCGACGGCAGCUUUUGCCUUGUGGAGUUUGUGCUACGCGAGGGAGUGGAGUUUAAGCGCGCCUUUGGUGACCGUGAUGGCUGUGUGCUCCACAUGACCACGUUUGCUCUUAAGUAUGAUCGUAGGGGAGAACUGCAGACCACGCGCCACCACACUAACUCCUAUGUAGUGUCUAAGUAUCUCCAGACAGUUUCUCCUCUAGUGUUCUGGAUGUAAAGCUAUUUGUUGACAUGUUUUAUGCAAACCAUGUCCGAGCAAUGUAAGCUAUGCAUGUAUGAUAUGGAGGCAGGAUAAAUAGAAAUGAAAAAAGAAGUCUACUUCUCUUGGCAUUUUGUGGAACACGAGUGGUUAUUUUGCAUAUCUGUUCACGAAAGAAAGCACAGUGAUGAUCACACGUUACAAAAACUAAAAGUGGGACUGUCUUUUGCUCCAGCAAUAACACUGUCAAAUAUGGAUGGUGAAAUUCUAUUCUAAUAUCACUAUGUUAAGUAUUUCUUAUUUUGAAGAAACGUAGCAGAAGCGCCACCUUUACAUUAUGGAGAAAUUAAAGUUUUACUGCAAAAAAAUAAAUUACCUAUGAUGAAUAUAAGGACGUAGUGGCUACAAACCUACUGAGUAAUCGCCAGGCCCAGUUCGGGCAAAAAUUGGAAUAUGUUCUCGAAGCGAAUAGUGUCUAGUCAUAUAUGUUCUUGAAGAAAAUUACAAACAAUAUUAGGUUAGUAUAUGGUGGUUAUAGCAGCUUCAUCAAAUGACUCUGUAUGUGGAGGGCUAUGGUUCUUUUUAAAGUUAAUUCAUUGUGCUUCUGUCCAUGACAGUAGUAUGCAACUUGUAUUUGUGGUUGAUGUAUAUGCUUGCUAAAUACUUGGUGUGAAUUUUACCUUACUUCGACCAUUUAUCAAUAGGAUCUUCCUUUGUGAUGUCUAUCAUUAAGAAAUGGUACUCCCUCUGUACACUAACAUAAGAUUGAACUCCAAAAACACCUUAUGUCAGUGUACACCUUUACUUUGUACUAAAGUUGUACUGAGUAUGCGACACUUAUUUUAGGACACAUGGAGCAUCUUGUUACUCUUGACUGUUCUGCUUUUUAUUUGAGUUCAUUCAGUUUUAUCUUUGCUACUCCCUCAGAUCCAUGUUACUUGUUGCAGCUUUGGUACAACUUUAAGCUGCGACAAGUAAUAUGGAUCGGAGGGAGUAAUAAAUUUCUUGCAAUGUUGGGGAAGCACGGGUGGAGGUUUCUGACAAAGCCCAACUCCCUUUGUGCAAGAGUUCUAAAGGGCCAUUACUUUCCCGACACUGAUUUUAUGCACGCUACUACGCCCAAGUCGGCCUCUGCCACUUGGAAGGCGAUUGUGGCAGGGAGGGACGCUCUCAGCACUGGCUUGAUCUCCCGUGUGGGAGACGGCAACACAAUCUCUGUCUGGACCGAUAAUUGGAUUCCAGGUACGAUCACAAUGACACCUCUCUCUAGGCCACCCAACACCAACAUAGAGAAGGUGGGGGAACUCAUUGACACAACAAAUUGGUCCUCGAGGCAGGAACUGGUGAGAGAAACUUUUAGUGCCUCGGAUGCAGAGGCCAUUCUUAAUAUCCCUCUCCGCCAGGAAGGUGGGGAUGAUUUUCUUGCUUGGGCAUUCGAGAGAUCAGGCAACUACUUUGUGAAGACGGUGUACGGGCUCUAGUGACUCAGAACGAGCGAUUGGCUCUAGAGGAAGGGACGGCUACCGAAACUUCAUAUGAAGAUAAACAGUUGUGGACUGCCUUGUGGAAAUUGGAUGUCAUCCCAAAAGUGCGAGUAUUCUGGUGGAGAGUUCUUCCUGGGAUUCUCCCUGACGAGGCUACUCUUAACUUUCGACACAUUGCUGAUUCUAGGCAAUGCAAAGUCUGUUUAGCACCGGAGGAGGACCUGAAACACGCGCUAAUCCAUUGCCCUCAUGCACAACGUUUCUGGGAGGAGGCCUGGGCGUGGUUUGGACUCCGAUUACCUAAUCUAAACCCAGUUUCUUGGGCGAGGGGCAUCACUCGUGACCCCAGUUUCACAGUCGAGGAGCGUGCUAGGAUCACUACCAUCAUGUGGUCUAUUUGGCAUUCCAGGAAUCGCAUCAAGCAUGGCGAUGAAGGCAGAGACCCCGCAGCAACGAUGAAAGCAACUAAGGAGGCUUUUGCACUACUUCAUCUUCCUCGCAAGGAUGCAAUGCGGUUGCCAGGAUUUGGGUGGAGGCC